AUUUUAUAAAUAAUGAAGUGCUUUCAUAGAUAUUUUUAUAAUCUUAUAAAUGUGCAAUAUAGUUCUCAUGUCACAUGAUAAAACUGUCCUGCAUUCUUCUCAAAUCAUUUGUAGCAUAUUAUUAUUUAUGAUUGAAAUAGCAGCCAUAUUGCAUUCCUUCAUUUCCUUGAGUCUAUGUGGAAGAGCUAACACAAACAUGAAGUUCUUCUUCAAUAAGAAUAAAUCAUGUAUGGUAUCUGGGUGGUCAUUCUUCCAGAAGCAGGUUAAUGUUUUAUAUAAAAUGUCCAAUUCAGUAUUAUGAAGUUGUUCAGUAAGAAAUUUGUAAAUUUGCAAUAGAAAAUGCAAAAAUUUCAGAUCAUAUGAAAUUUAAUUACUGAAAUUUUUGAAAGUGUACAGUUUGUUUCAAAUCACCAAG
RNAcentral lists this long non-coding RNA (415 nucleotides) under Androctonus crassicauda. The record is from RNAcentral. Lineage: Eukaryota; Metazoa; Arthropoda; Arachnida; Scorpiones; Buthidae.